GCCCCUUUAGCUCAGUUGGUAGAGCUACGGACUUUUAAUCCGCAGGUCGUCAGUUCGAGUCUGACAGGGGGCA
Molecule: transfer RNA, 73 nt
Filed under: Hoyosella altamirensis
Lineage: Bacteria; Bacillati; Actinomycetota; Actinomycetes; Mycobacteriales; Hoyosellaceae
Description: tRNA-Lys
Rfam family: tRNA
About the family: Transfer RNA (tRNA) molecules are approximately 80 nucleotides in length.
Source: RNAcentral